Molecule: transfer RNA, 77 nt
Filed under: Oscillospiraceae bacterium
Lineage: Bacteria; Bacillati; Bacillota; Clostridia; Eubacteriales; Oscillospiraceae
Description: tRNA-Val
Rfam family: tRNA
About the family: Transfer RNA (tRNA) molecules are approximately 80 nucleotides in length. Their secondary structure includes four short double-helical elements and three loops (D, anti-codon, and T loops).
Source: RNAcentral
GGGAGCUUAGCUCAGCUGGUAAUAGCGCCUGCUUCACACGCAGGAGGUCGCAGGUUCGCGUCCUGUAGCGCCCACCA